RNAcentral lists this unclassified non-coding RNA (267 nucleotides) under plant metagenome. RNAcentral describes it as "partial contains small subunit ribosomal RNA, internal transcribed spacer 1, and 5.8S ribosomal RNA". The record is from RNAcentral.
UUUCCGUAGGUGAACCUGCGGAAGGAUCAUUAUCAUACAAAAUGUGAGGGGCAUGCGAGGGCUGUCGCUGACCCAAAAGUUGUGCACGCCCGAGUGUGUCCUCUUGCAUAAUAAUCCAUCUCACCCUUUGUGCAUCACCGCGUGGGCACCCUUCGGGAUCAUCUCGGAGGGCAGCUCGCGUUAUCACACAAACCCCCCUUUUAAAAGUGUAGAAUGACCACAUUUAUGCAAUCAAUACAACUUUCAACAACGGAUCUCUUGGCUCUC